This is a non-coding RNA of Rhizodiscina lignyota, 89 nucleotides long. NCBI's taxonomy places the organism in Eukaryota, Fungi, Ascomycota, Dothideomycetes, Aulographales, Rhizodiscinaceae. The record is from the annotation of a GenBank genome assembly.
GCACAAUUCGUCCAGUGGUUAGGAUUCUGCCUUCCCAAUAAAAUAUAUUGGUACAGGCAGGGACACGAGUUCGAAUCUCGUAUUGUGCA